This 678-nucleotide small RNA is filed under the name Malus domestica (apple). RNAcentral's name for it is "sRNA MD14G0074100". Lineage: Eukaryota; Viridiplantae; Streptophyta; Magnoliopsida; Rosales; Rosaceae. The record is from RNAcentral.
CUUUUGAGUGACUCUUUAACUUUUCUCAAAAAAUUAAAAAAAAUAAAAAAGCCAAGAAGGAAAAGGAAAAGGUAAAUCCUUGUUAUGAACUCUUCCGACUUUUUUUUACUUCAGUUUUUACCCCAAAAGGGGGGCUCGGAUUGAUCAAGGUGCAAAACAAUUGUAGGGGGAAAGGAAGCCUCCCCAGAAAAAUGGUAAUGCCAUGGGGCGUCACUGUUUGGAUGGCAAAGGUGGUGUGGUUGGCCCUCACCGGCUUGAUUUCGUCUUGCUUAGCCGUUGCCGAUGAAGUCGCCGGCUCCCUUAGAACCGGAGAUAUUGGCCCUUUGCAUGUCGGCUGAUUGAUUGUCACCGGACUCACCACUCCUAUGCUCUCUGAUGGUUAAAAUCCGUAAAUAACGGUGAAGGGACGGUGGGUGCAUGGCCUGGACAUUCAGAGCUGCUAAUUUUAUACUGUGAAUACUGUAAAUACUGUGAGUAGAUUUCUUUUAUUUUUAUUUAUUUUUUGUUUCAUAUUAAAUACCAAAGUCAUACUGGGGUUUGUGCUUUGUACUGGAAAGUUGUAUAUCUCUGGUUUGUGUUUGGAAAUCAAUAAGAUUGUUGGGUGCUAUGCUUUAAAACCAAGUCUCGUGCUCGGCAACAUUGUAUACCGAAUUUCCUAAGCUCAAACCAUAGUUUUAU